CUUGAACAUGUCAACAUAUCUCUCAGUCAUUAUAAUAUGGAGCUACAGUGUCUCUAUCUCCAAAUCUCUCCUCUGUGUGUUAACAUUUAAUAGGUAUGCAUAUUUAUACCUUAGGUGUCUUCAUUUUAGGGUUACUGUAGUUCAUAUAUGAAAAAGUAACACUUCUUUGAGAAAUACAAUAUAUGCAUUUGCCCAUAACAUAAUUACCUCUCAUAUCAUAUGUUUAUAUUGUUUAUG
Pelobates cultripes (western spadefoot toad) is the source of this 237-nucleotide non-coding RNA. The record is from the annotation of a GenBank genome assembly. Lineage: Eukaryota; Metazoa; Chordata; Amphibia; Anura; Pelobatidae.